This 446-nucleotide ribosomal RNA is filed under the name uncultured bacterium. RNAcentral's name for it is "partial 16S ribosomal RNA". It matches the Rfam family "Bacterial small subunit ribosomal RNA", at positions 338 to 795 of the family's 1533-position model. The record is from RNAcentral.
CCUACGGGGUGCAGCAGUCGAGAAUUAUUCACAAUGGGGGAAACCCUGAUGGUGCGACGCCGCGUGGGGGAAUGAAGGUCUUCGGAUUGUAAACCCCUGUCAUGUGGGAGCAAAUUAAAAAGAUCGUACCACACGAGGAAGAGACGGCUAACUCUGUGCCAGCAGCCGCGGUAAUACAGAGGUCUCAAGCGUUGUUCGGAAUCACUGGGCGUAAAGCGUGCGUAGGCUGUUUCGUAAGUCGUGUGUGAAAGGCGCGGGCUCAACCCGCGGACGGCACAUGAUACUGCGAGACUAGAGUAAUGGAGGGGGAACCGGAAUUCUCGGUGUAGCAGUGAAAUGCGUAGAUAUCGAGAGGAACACUCGUGGCGAAGGCGGGUUCCUGGACAUUAACUGACGCUGAGGCACGAAGGCCAGGGGAGCGAAAGGGAUUAGAUACCCUUGUAGUC